GAAUAGGGCUUCUGUCUUGAGUGGCACAUGUAGAGCAGCAUGGUUGCUCUACAUGCAGAAUUGACAUCAAGAGAUUUCAGAAGCAUAAUUUUUUGGUACUUGGCAGCUGGUGAUCCCUGGUUCUGGAACCCCA
Molecule: small nuclear RNA, 133 nt
Organism: Molossus molossus (Pallas's mastiff bat)
Lineage: Eukaryota; Metazoa; Chordata; Mammalia; Chiroptera; Molossidae
Product: U11 spliceosomal RNA
Exons: 1
Source: RefSeq, a predicted model, not a curated record